AACGAACGCUGGCGGCAUGCCUAACACAUGCAAGUCGAACGAGACCUUCGGGUCUAGUGGCGCACGGGUGCGUAACGCGUGGGAAUCUGCCCUUAGGUACGGAAUAACUCAGGGAAACUUGAGCUAAUACCGUAUAAUGACUUCGGUCCAAAGAUUUAUCGCCUAAGGAUGAGCCCGCGUCGGAUUAGCUAGUUGGUGAGGUAAAAGACUCACCAAGGCGACGAUCCGUAGCGGUCUGAGAGGAUGAUCAGCCACACUGGGACUGAGACACGGCCCAGACUCCUACGGGAGGGCAGCAGUGGGGAAUAUUGGACAAUGGGCGAAAGACCUGAUCCAGCAAUGCCGCGUGAGUGAUGAAGGCC
This 362-nucleotide ribosomal RNA is filed under the name uncultured bacterium. Its description in RNAcentral is "bacterial SSU rRNA". It matches the Rfam family "Bacterial small subunit ribosomal RNA", at positions 29 to 416 of the family's 1533-position model. The record is from RNAcentral.